This 499-nucleotide long non-coding RNA is filed under the name Chinchilla lanigera (long-tailed chinchilla). RNAcentral's name for it is "lncRNA (ENSCLAG00000026984.1)". Lineage: Eukaryota; Metazoa; Chordata; Mammalia; Rodentia; Chinchillidae. The record is from RNAcentral.
UUCGAUGGGAUUUUAAACACACUAGUCCCCUGUUGUUGCCAUGGUAACCGGUUUGGGCCCUGACGGGUGACAGAAGGGUACCGCACAGUCCUGGUUCCUGUUUGAACAAACACGUGCGCCGAGUUUCCGCCUUGCGGCGGGAGGAGAGGAGGCUGGAAUCUCCACGCUUCCACAGCAAGGGCAAUCUUUAAAGGCAGUAAGGUGUGACGGCCCAGACUGGCAGCUUGGCAAGACAGAGCCCGUGGAUACCAGCACACAGGAAUCUGGACGGUAUGUCCAUGCCUCCAGGGAUUUCUUUAUAAGAGGACGUAACAUAGAUUAUGACUCUGAGGGCCCGCAACUGAACACCAAGGCUUCCGGGGCUGUGCUGACGCCUUGCUGGAUGAUACUGGGUUAAGCCCUCUCCUGUGACUCUUCUGCAACUUUUGGUCUGAGAAGAUAUGUAGGAAAAAGACCCUAAAGUAUCUCUUUAAUCCUGUUUCAUCAAACAUAAACCUGU